Long non-coding RNA from Ursus maritimus (polar bear), 389 nucleotides. Lineage: Eukaryota; Metazoa; Chordata; Mammalia; Carnivora; Ursidae. The record is from Ensembl.
GGGCUUCAUGGCACCACACUUAAAGAUGGUAGAUAUUAUGUAUGUUGUAUUUUACUGCCAUUUUUAAAAAAGUGCUUGAAGAUUGUAAUGAAUUUAUGUAACAUGCAAUGCCACUAGCCUGCGGUAGAGGGCAAAGGCACUCAAACUUCACUGAAAAGCUUGACUGCAGUGCCCCUACUGCCAGUCCAGCCCUGUCAACGAACCAUCCACACCUGCAGCUCUGCUGGAGCCUCUGCAAGCCACAGGGCGAUCCAGAUUGCUUCUGCCACCAACCUGAAGACAUAUGGAGCCAUAAGGACAGGAACCAUUCUGUUUAUUUCUAUGUUUUGGACCUUCCAUGUAUAUGCGAUUUUGAACUCCUCUUCAUCGUUCAUAUGAGGGAACCCGUG